This 384-nucleotide small RNA is filed under the name Citrobacter amalonaticus. RNAcentral describes it as "Enterobacterial sRNA STnc550". It matches the Rfam family "Enterobacterial sRNA STnc550". Lineage: Bacteria; Pseudomonadati; Pseudomonadota; Gammaproteobacteria; Enterobacterales; Enterobacteriaceae. The record is from RNAcentral.
UAAAUCUCACUCCAGACCCAACCUGAACAUUAAAUUACGCCAAGUAAACGUUUGCCUUUACUCAUCCUGUGCCCAACGUCAGGGCUGCGGCACGCCGGGAAACGACACGGAACGUCAGGAAGGGGUCAAUGGCCGGUACGCUAAUCAAGUAAGCGUCGAAUUUUGUCUGAUCUUUACGAAAAGGGGAAGUAUUAAAAGCACAUAUCACUCUAAAUCGUGGGAGAUUUUUACACUCAAGUGUGUAAAAAUGCGCUAUAUCACUUUUUGUGUGGGUAUAAAAAGGAGAAAAGUUGAUGAGCACCGAUCUGAAAUUUUCAUUAGUGACCACGUUUAUUGUCCUGGCUUUAAUCGUUGCGGGCGGCCUGACGGCGGCACUGCACUGAU